GUCUACGGCCAGACCACCCUGAACACGUCUGAUCUCGGAAGCUAAGCAGGGUCGGGCCCGGUUAGUACUUGGCUGGGAGACCUCCUGGGAAUACUGGGUGCUGUAGGCU
Molecule: ribosomal RNA, 109 nt
Filed under: Gopherus evgoodei (Goodes thornscrub tortoise)
Lineage: Eukaryota; Metazoa; Chordata; Testudines; Testudinidae
Source: RNAcentral